RNAcentral lists this ribosomal RNA (92 nucleotides) under Neocallimastix frontalis. RNAcentral describes it as "partial 5.8S ribosomal RNA". The record is from RNAcentral. Lineage: Eukaryota; Fungi; Neocallimastigomycota; Neocallimastigomycetes; Neocallimastigales; Neocallimastigaceae.
CAAAAAUAUUUUUUAAAAUAAUUUAAAACCACCUUUGGACAAGGGACCCCUGGGUCCCCCCUCCAAGAAAAAACCCAGGGAGGAAUCCUUGG